UUCCAGACUCCUACGGGAGGCAGCAGUGGGGGAUAUUGGACAAUGGGGGAAACCCUGAUCCAGCGACGCCGCGUGAGUGAAGAAGUAUUUCGGUAUGUAAAGCUCUGUCAGCAGGGAAGAAAGAAAUGACGGUACCUGACCAAGAAGCCCCGGCUAACUACGUGCCAGCAGCCGCGGUAAUACGUAGGGGGCAAGCGUUAUCCGGAAUUACUGGGUGUAAAGGGAGCGUAGACGGUGAUGCAAGUCUGGAGUGAAAUGCCGGGGCUUAACCCCGGAACUGCUUUGGAAACUGUGCAGCUAGAGUGCAGGAGAGGUAAGUGGAAUUCCUAGUGUAGCGGUGAAAUGCGUAGAUAUUAGGAGGAACACCAGUGGCGAAGGCGGCUUACUGGACUGUAACUGACGUUGAGGCUCGAAAGCGUGGGGAGCAAACAGGAUUAGAUACCCGCGUAA
RNAcentral lists this ribosomal RNA (450 nucleotides) under uncultured bacterium. RNAcentral's name for it is "bacterial SSU rRNA". It matches the Rfam family "Bacterial small subunit ribosomal RNA", at positions 329 to 793 of the family's 1533-position model. The record is from RNAcentral.